This 73-nucleotide transfer RNA is filed under the name Araneus ventricosus. RNAcentral describes it as "tRNA-Cys". Lineage: Eukaryota; Metazoa; Arthropoda; Arachnida; Araneae; Araneidae. The record is from RNAcentral.
GUUGGUAUAUCUCAGUGGUAGAGCAUUCGACUGCAGAUCGAGAGGUCUCCGGUUCAAACACGAGAGUCCAAUU